Antechinus flavipes (yellow-footed antechinus) is the source of this 677-nucleotide long non-coding RNA. RefSeq lists it as uncharacterized. Lineage: Eukaryota; Metazoa; Chordata; Mammalia; Dasyuromorphia; Dasyuridae. The transcript has 4 exons. The record is from RefSeq and is a predicted model, not a curated record.
GAGAGAGAGAGAGAGAGAGAGAGACCAACUGAAUCUGGCUCCACCAAUGGGAUCCGUGACUGCACAGCGUCAGCCUGAUUCUUGCCUGGUCUCAGAACUUUUCAUCGAAGGAUGGCUCAGUUUCCCUCCAGGCCCCAACAAUGUAUCUACAUACCAUCUCUCAGAAGAUAUUUGCUUCCUCCUUUACUGACCCAAUGUUCCAGCCUAUGAAGAUCCUUUGAAAUCCUAACUCAUCCAGUGUGUCAGCUAUUCCUUCCAAAUUGGCAUCAUCUGCAAAUAUUAUCAUUAUAUUAUAUAAUAUGUAAAAUAUUAUAUAUCAUAUAAUAGUAUAAAAUGUAUAUCAUGCAUAGCAUGUCAUCCUUGUUUGUAUUCAAGUUGUUGAUAAAAAUGUUAAAUGAUAUAGGGCCAAAAAAGAUCCCUGGGAUAUUCCAACGGAGACCUUCUUCCAAUAUGAACAUUGCAUCAUUCAUAUCUACUCUUUGAGACAAUUCAAUCAGUUCCUCCAUCUAAUUGUACCAUCAGAUAGCCUACCUUCCUCCAUCCCCAACCCCAACACAGCAUCAAUUAUUCAACUGAAAAUUUUACAAAGCUCCUAAUUAUAUACCCAUACCUUUUCUCUUAGCUUCUAGUUUUUAUAUUUUGACCCAAACAGAAAUAAAGUUAAACAUUUAACACUA